AGCAGUAGCCGCGGGAAUACGAACCGUGCGAACGUUAUUCGGAAUCACUGGGCUUAAAGCGCGUGUAGGCGGAUGGGAGCGUCGGCCUCUGAAAUCCCCCGGCUCAACCGGGGAAGUGGAGCCGAAACGACCCGUCUGGAGGGACGUAGGGGGACCUGGAACUUCCGGUGGAGCGGUGAAAUGCGUUGAGAUCGGAAGGAACGCCCGUGGCGAAAGCGAGGUCCUGGACGUCUGCUGACGCUGAGACGCGAAAGCCAGGGGAGCGAACGGGAUUAGAUACCCCCGUAGUCCCUGUCUCUUAUA
RNAcentral lists this ribosomal RNA (303 nucleotides) under uncultured bacterium. Its description in RNAcentral is "partial 16S ribosomal RNA". It matches the Rfam family "Bacterial small subunit ribosomal RNA", at positions 507 to 807 of the family's 1533-position model. The record is from RNAcentral.